AAUAAACGUUGGCGGCGUGCCUAACACAUGCAAGUCGAACGAAGCUGUUUUAACUGGUGCUUGCACCGACUUAAACAACUGAGUGGCGAACGGGUGAGUAACACGUGGGUAACCUGCCCCAAAGCGGGGGAUAACAUUUGGAAACAGAUGCUAAUACCGCAUAACCACAGAAACCACAUGGUUUCUGUGUCAAAGAUGGUUUCGGCUAUCACUUUGGGAUGGACCCGCGGCGUAUUAGCUAGUUGGUAAGGUAAUGGCUUACCAAGGCAAUGGUACGUAGCCGAACUGAGAGGUUGAUCGGCCACAUUGGGACUGAGACACGGCCCAAACUCCUACGGGAGGCAGCAGUAGGGAAUCUUCCACAAUGGACGAAAGUCUGAUGGAGCAACGCCGCGUGAGUGAAGAAGGUUUUCGGAUCGUAAAACUCUGUUGUCAGAGAAGAACGUGUGCGAGAGUAACUGCUCGUGCAGUGACGGUAUCUGGCCAGAAAGCCACGGCUAACUACGUGCCAGCCGCCGCAGUAA
Molecule: ribosomal RNA, 524 nt
Filed under: uncultured bacterium
Lineage: Bacteria
Description: partial 16S ribosomal RNA
Rfam family: Bacterial small subunit ribosomal RNA
Source: RNAcentral